RNAcentral lists this long non-coding RNA (396 nucleotides) under Erythranthe guttata (spotted monkey flower). RNAcentral's name for it is "long non-coding RNA (EGUT_LNC001054)". The record is from RNAcentral. Lineage: Eukaryota; Viridiplantae; Streptophyta; Magnoliopsida; Lamiales; Phrymaceae.
UUAAAACACAGUCAGCACUCGCACCCAAACCGGGCGCGGAAAGCUGUGUCGCGCGCCCAAACCGGGCGCGGGAAGUACUUUUCCGCGCCCAAACCGGGCGUGAAUCGAGAUUUUUUGCGCCCAGUUUGGGCGUGAAACGUAUUUUUCGGCGUCCAAAUUGGUCGUGAGUCUCGUUUUCGCGAUUUAAAGAACAAAAACGAACAAAUUUUACCUCAUUGGAUUCCGUAUCUCGAUCCUCAUUCGAUGCACUCAUUUUUUUUUGCAAAUGGCUACAAUAACAUGAGUUUUGGAAUGAUUUCUAAUAUAAAAGCUAAAAUUGUAGAGAGAGAAAGAAAGAUAGAGAGUGGAUUUUUUAAAACGACAUUCGUAAUUUUGCUACCGCGAAUAUCACCUCCC